UGAAGAGCCAAUCUGGACGUUCGCUACUACCCCACUGCGUUCUCAUUGGACGAAUGUGGCGGAGGCACUGUGACGUGGGCGGGCUUUCCUCCCACUAGAGCUACUUCAACCGCAAAUGCUCGAGCACUUCAGUUUUCUCGUCGCACUGGUGGAGUGAAGACUAGCUGAGCUAAUUCACAAUGAUCGUGAAUGAACUCUGAGGAAAAUUGUUAAUCUUACACUUGCACCCGAACUCUAAGAAAGCUCAAGGACGAGAGACUUUACAUAUUAUUCCCUCUAUGAACAAGGGCCUCGAAACGUGGGAAAACCAGUGGGACGUCCGGCUAUAUUCUACCUACAUUAAAGACUUUAAGCGGCUGUAAACGUAGUACAAAGUCGAAAUAAUUUCAAUACGAUAAACACUAUGAAAACUACAGGGAAAAGCACCGAAAUGUUGAAGCACAGGAAGAGACUGGCGGAACUAAACUCUAAACAAAGUCAACAUCUGGUGAGAACUGGCGGCGAGAAGCGAGUGUAUACAAGCAUGUAGAGCCUAGUGACAGCUCUGGACCCAGGGGUGAAGAGCCACUACCCUUCACAAUACUACAACUACUGGAACCUGUGAGAGGUAGUGGGGAGUAGAGGAGCGUCGCGCGGACAGUUGACGGCGCCUCUCACCCACAACACUUCCACACCCUAAAGGUAAGCUGUUAACGAAAGUGUUCUCACUGUUAUCUUGUGACAGCCGCCGGGGCUGUAAGGCAUGUAGUGCGGUUUUGCUAACUGUACAGUGCAGCUGUUCCUCUCAUGAGCAAUACGCAAGAUUAGUUCAGUCAAGUCAAAAAUUUUAUAAUUUUGAGCGGUGGUAGCAACUCUUGUACAAAAUAUAAAUUGUUUCUUACGAAUAUUUACCUGACCCCUAACCAGCUUGAGUAUAUAAACAUAUAAACGCAUUAAUUAAAUUUGACGUACAGCUGGCCAUGUGGUCACAGGUUGAACUAAAUAAACCCGUGAUGUUUCCCGUGAGCCACAGUUUCUCAGGACCUAUACGGACAUGCCACUUUCAUCAUCGCCAGCAGACGGCCAGCCACUCCAUGUGUUUCCCUCCCCCAAACGGCCAGGCUACCCUGCUCACAUCAAAGGAUAACUUCACCCUCAACACAUCUGGGUCAGCCGCCAUAUGAGGUAUUACUCUGUGAUCUUUUCCGUGUGUCACUUAAAAACACUUUCAUGACGCUGUCUGUGAUUUGUGUGUGUGUGUGUGUGUGUAUUUGAAGACUCAUAAGUACAUUUGGCAUAUUUUUUUAAAUGUACAUGUCCCCAUCAUUGUGCUUUAUGUCUGGGGAAGAGACCGUGUAAUAUAUUUGUAUAUUAUGAACAACUAAAUAAAAUGAACCACAUA
Homarus americanus (American lobster) is the source of this 1381-nucleotide long non-coding RNA. RefSeq lists it as uncharacterized. The record is from RefSeq and is a predicted model, not a curated record. NCBI's taxonomy places the organism in Eukaryota, Metazoa, Arthropoda, Malacostraca, Decapoda, Nephropidae. The transcript has 2 exons.